GAGCGAUCAUAAGGGAGCUGACUGCAAAUCUGCCGUCAUCGACUUCAAGGUUCGACUCGAGCAAUAGUGAGAGAACGUUGCCGCAGGCAACGGCCCGAAGAGUGAGGAGCUUUAGCUCCGAAUAAUCCUUCCCGCUAUAGAA
Molecule: small RNA, 142 nt
Filed under: Salmonella enterica subsp. enterica serovar Infantis
Lineage: Bacteria; Pseudomonadati; Pseudomonadota; Gammaproteobacteria; Enterobacterales; Enterobacteriaceae
Also listed under: 3 other names
Description: RtT sRNA
Rfam family: RtT RNA
About the family: This family represents a bacterial cis-regulatory element known as RtT RNA.
Source: RNAcentral